This 465-nucleotide ribosomal RNA is filed under the name Vreelandella stevensii. Its description in RNAcentral is "partial 16S ribosomal RNA". It matches the Rfam family "Bacterial small subunit ribosomal RNA", at positions 338 to 795 of the family's 1533-position model. The record is from RNAcentral. Lineage: Bacteria; Pseudomonadati; Pseudomonadota; Gammaproteobacteria; Oceanospirillales; Halomonadaceae.
CCUACGGGGGGCAGCAGUGGGGAAUAUUGGACAAUGGGGGGAACCCUGAUCCAGCCAUGCCGCGUGUGUGAAGAAGGCCCUCGGGUUGUAAAGCACUUUCAGUGAGGAAGAACGCCUGGUGGUUAAUACCCAUCAGGAAAGACAUCACUCACAGAAGAAGCACCGGCUAACUCCGUGCCAGCAGCCGCGGUAAUACGGAGGGUGCGAGCGUUAAUCGGAAUUACUGGGCGUAAAGCGCGCGUAGGUGGCUUGAUAAGCCGGUUGUGAAAGCCCCGGGCUCAACCUGGGAACGGCAUCCGGAACUGUCAAGCUAGAGUGCAGGAGAGGAAGGUAGAAUUCCCGGUGUAGCGGUGAAAUGCGUAGAGAUCGGGAGGAAUACCAGUGGCGUAGGCGGCCUUCUGGACUGACACUGACACUGAGGUGCGAAAGCGUGGGUAGCAAACAGGAUUAGAUACCCCUGUAGUC